UUUGGUCUCGUUUGCUGGACUUAUUCCCCCGACUGACCUUUCAAAGUAGGGAAGAAAGAGGCCAAAGUAUGAUUCAAAUUGGUACAAAACAGUGUAGCAUCGUUGAUAUAUAAGGAGGAAGAUUCCCAGAUGCUCUCUGUCGUCUCUGUCCUUCAUUUGAAUCGUCCGUUUGUCUCGGCCUAAAACGCAAAAAGUCGAUCGCAUUCCUAUCAGUCUAUUCAAACCCUAAAGAUUCAGAACGACCUCGGCCCUUGCUUUUCCUGUAGGCGAAUACGACACGCGCCCACGUUUUAGUUCUGGUUCAGCUGGCGAAACUUGACAAUUUUGAACGAUGCUAAAUGAGUAAUUGGCACAAUUCUCUCAGCCACCCAACUUGGAAGCUGCGAACAACGUUGCUUCAUUUUCGACUUUUAGUGCAAAGUGGGAUGUACGCCGAGACUUGACUGUAAGGGGUUUCUGAGAAAAUUGGGUGUGUUGAGCUUAUUGAUGGGUGUAUGCGUUGGAUGGGACUUUAGAAGGCCGAAAAUAGCAGAAGGUGGCCCAAGUAGGCCUGCAAUAGCAAAGAGAAGUGCAUAACUAAAUUGCCUGUGGAAAUAUGGAAUAGGUUGAGGCCCUAAUAGAGAGGGUGUACAUUACCGAAAGUCUUACCUGACGGCCCAACUCGUCUAAACCAAAGCAAGGCCCAUUACUUCACCCAUCAACCUUUGAAGCCCAUCAUCAGGGUCAUGUGUGGUCUCAAAGUUAUUAGGUAAGAGGAAAACUUCCCCAAUGUUCCACAAGAGAGCCUUAUUUUUAAUUAAAUGAAGCAAAAGUUGAAUAAAGUUGGGCUUCUAAGGCCAUCUCCGA
This is a long non-coding RNA of Rosa rugosa (rugosa rose), 846 nucleotides long. RefSeq lists it as uncharacterized. The transcript is spliced from 2 exons. Lineage: Eukaryota; Viridiplantae; Streptophyta; Magnoliopsida; Rosales; Rosaceae. The record is from RefSeq and is a predicted model, not a curated record.